This is a small nuclear RNA of Trichosurus vulpecula (common brushtail), 105 nucleotides long. The record is from RefSeq and is a predicted model, not a curated record. Lineage: Eukaryota; Metazoa; Chordata; Mammalia; Diprotodontia; Phalangeridae.
AUCCAAGAGCAGUAUAUAUCCUAAAAUUUGAAUGAUACAGAGAAGAUCAGCAUGGCUCCUGUGUAAAAGAUGAUAUGGAAAUUCAUAAAGUGGAUUUUUAUUUAU